Molecule: long non-coding RNA, 642 nt
Filed under: Helianthus annuus (common sunflower)
Lineage: Eukaryota; Viridiplantae; Streptophyta; Magnoliopsida; Asterales; Asteraceae
Source: RNAcentral
AUGGUUAUGUACAUUGCAUAUGAGGGCAUUUUUUCUCCCCACCAUCUCUCUCUUUUCUCUCUCUCUCUCUCUCUCUACGAUCUACUCCCCCUUCACUCUCUCUACGAUAUGCUUUCCCAAACAAGAGUGAUCUAAUAACCAAACAAGAUUGAGUAAUAAACAAGUUGCAAGAUGCAAGAUCAAGAUGAAUUGAUCAAAGAUUGAUUAACACAACCACACCAAACUGCCACCAACAACAACCACACGACACCACCACAACCACCAGAUCUACCGUGAACUCGAAUCUCCAGUGGAAUCGGAAGGCGGCGAUUAGGGUUCAAUGACGAAGGGCCCUGAUACAGAGUGGGUGUUUGGAUGAUGAUGGUGGUAGGGGUGCGGGUGGGGGUUGUGCGAUGAGGUUAGGGUUCCGACCAAUGCUUACUCAAAACCACCUGAAUUUGUAAACGUUGGUGCUUUUUUUUUCUUUUGAUUUUGUCAUUAGUAAAGCUACAAAGUGGCUACGGAGAUUGUUGUAAUUGAUGUCAAUAAGGAUUCAAAGAUUCUUAAUGGAACUCAAAUGAGGUUGAUCACGGAGGACACUAAUUGAAGCGUCUCCAAGAGUUCACUUGGAGGGAUUUGAUGAUACUUCAUAUCAAUAUUGUU